AGAGUUUGAUCCUGGCUCAGGACGAACGCUGGCGGCGCGCCUAACACAUGCAAGUCGAACGAGCAAGAGAGAGCUUGCUUUCUCGAGCGAGUGGCGAACGGGUGAGUAACGCGUGAGGAACCUGCCUCAAAGAGGGGGACAACAGUUGGAAACGACUGCUAAUACCGCAUAAGCCCACGGUGCCGCAUGGCACAGAGGGAAAAGGAGCAAUCCGCUUUGAGAUGGCCUCGCGUCCGAUUAGCUAGUUGGUGAGGUAACGGCCCACCAAGGCAACGAUCGGUAGCCGGACUGAGAGGUUGAACGGCCACAUUGGGACUGAGGCACGGCCCAGACUCCUACGGGAGGCAGCAGUGGGGAAUAUUGCACAAUGGGGGAAACCCUGAUGCAGCGACGCCGCGUGGAGGAAGAAGGUCUUCGGAUUGUAAACUCCUGUUGUUGGGGAAGAUAAUGACGGUACCCAACAAGGAAGUGACGGCUAACUACGUGCCAGCAGCCGCGGUAAAACGUAGGUCACAAGCGUUGUCCGGAAUUACUGGGUGUAAAGGGAGCGCAGGCGGGAAGACAAGUUGGAAGUGAAAUCUAUGGGCUCAACCCAUAAACUGCUUUCAAAACUGUUUUUCUUGAGUAGUGCAGAGGUAGGCGGAAUUCCCGGUGUAGCGGUGGAAUGCGUAGAUAUCGGGAGGAACACCAGUGGCGAAGGCGGCCUACUGGGCACCAACUGACGCUGAGGCUCGAAAGUGUGGGUAGCAAACAGGAUUAGAUACCCUGGUAGUCCACACCGUAAACGAUGAUUACUAGGUGUUGGAGGAUUGACCCCUUCAGUGCCGCAGUUAACACAAUAAGUAAUCCACCUGGGGAGUACGACCGCAAGGUUGAAACUCAAAGGAAUUGACGGGGGCCCGCACAAGCAGUGGAGUAUGUGGUUUAAUUCGACGCAACGCGAAGAACCUUACCAAGUCUUGACAUCCCUUGACAGACAUAGAAAUAUGUAAUCUCUUCGGAGCAAGGAGACAGGUGGUGCAUGGUUGUCGUCAGCUCGUGUCGUGAGAUGUUGGGUUAAGUCCCGCAACGAGCGCAACCCUUAUGGUCAGUUACUACGCAAGAGGACUCUGGCCAGACUGCCGUUGACAAAACGGAGGAAGGUGGGGAUGACGUCAAAUCAUCAUGCCCUUUAUGACUUGGGCUACACACGUACUACAAUGGCGUUAAACAAAGAGAAGCAAGACCGCGAGGUGGAGCAAAACUCAGAAACAACGUCCCAGUUCGGACUGCAGGCUGCAACUCGCCUGCACGAAGUCGGAAUUGCUAGUAAUCGUGGAUCAGCAUGCCACGGUGAAUACGUUCCCGGGCCUUGCACACACCGCCCGUC
This 1369-nucleotide ribosomal RNA is filed under the name uncultured bacterium. Its description in RNAcentral is "bacterial SSU rRNA". It matches the Rfam family "Bacterial small subunit ribosomal RNA". The record is from RNAcentral.